AGAUAGACGUAGAUGAGGAGUAUUAAGAAAAACUGCGUAUAAAGAGAGCUGCCGUCUGGUGCAAGGCAGAUACGUAAGCUUCCCAACUCGCCUCGGAGUUCCCGAAUUGAACAGUUUUUUAACUUUAAGUAGAUUUGGGCGGGAUUUCCCGUUAUAGAAAAAUGAGUGCACAGAUAAAUAUCUGUGAAUUAGAGUGGUACCGCGGAAUUUAAGCCCUUUCGUCUCUGAA
This 229-nucleotide non-coding RNA is filed under the name Lachnospiraceae bacterium. RNAcentral's name for it is "T-box sequence". It matches the Rfam family "T-box leader". From Rfam's summary of the family: Uncharged tRNA acts as the effector for transcription antitermination of genes in the T-box leader family. Lineage: Bacteria; Bacillati; Bacillota; Clostridia; Lachnospirales; Lachnospiraceae. The record is from RNAcentral.